ACCGGCGAUACCCGAAUGGGGAAACCCAGUGUGAUUCGUCACACUAUCAUUAACUGAAUCCAUAGGUUAAUGAGGCGAACCGGGGGAACUGAAACAUCUAAGUACCCCGAGGAAAAGAAAUCAACCGAGAUUCCCCCAGUAGCGGCGAGCGAACGGGGAGGAGCCCAGAGCCUGAAUCAGCAUGUGUGUUAGUGGAAGCGUCUGGAAAGGCGCGCGAUACAGGGUGACAGCCCCGUACACAAAAGCGCAUGUGCUGUGAGCUCGAUGAGUAGGGCGGGACACGUGGUAUCCUGUCUGAAUAUGGGGGGACCAUCCUCCAAGGCUAAAUACUCCUGACUGACCGAUAGUGAACCAGUACCGUGAGGGAAAGGCGAAAAGAACCCCGGCGAGGGGAGUGAAAAAGAACCUGAAACCGU
Molecule: ribosomal RNA, 416 nt
Filed under: Salmonella enterica subsp. enterica serovar Derby
Lineage: Bacteria; Pseudomonadati; Pseudomonadota; Gammaproteobacteria; Enterobacterales; Enterobacteriaceae
Also listed under: 5 other names
Description: partial 23S ribosomal RNA
Rfam family: Bacterial large subunit ribosomal RNA
Source: RNAcentral